This 460-nucleotide ribosomal RNA is filed under the name uncultured bacterium. Its description in RNAcentral is "partial 16S ribosomal RNA". It matches the Rfam family "Bacterial small subunit ribosomal RNA", at positions 338 to 795 of the family's 1533-position model. The record is from RNAcentral.
CCUACGGGAGGCUGCAGUGAGGAAUAUUGGUCAAUGGACGAGAGUCUGAACCAGCCAAGUAGCGUGAAGGAUGACUGCCCUAUGGGUUGUAAACUUCUUUUAUAUGGGAAUAAAACGUUCCACGUGUGGGAUUUUGUAUGUACCAUAUGAAUAAGGAUCGGCUAACUCCGUGCCAGCAGCCGCGGUAAUACGGAGGAUCCGAGCGUUAUCCGGAUUUAUUGGGUUUAAAGGGAGCGUAGGUGGGUUGUUAAGUCAGUUGUGAAAGUUUGCGGCUCAACCGUAAAAUUGCAGUGGAAACUGGCAGUCUUGAGUACAGUAGAGGUGGGCGGAAUUCGUGGUGUAGCGGUGAAAUGCUUAGAUAUCACGAAGAACUCCGAUUGCGAAGGCAGUUCACUGGACUGCAACUGACACUGAGGCUCGAAAGUGUGGGUAUCAAACAGGAUUAGAUACCCUAGUAGUC